This 310-nucleotide unclassified non-coding RNA is filed under the name plant metagenome. RNAcentral describes it as "partial contains 5.8S ribosomal RNA, internal transcribed spacer 2, and large subunit ribosomal RNA". The stretch from base 1 to 105 matches the Rfam family "5.8S ribosomal RNA", at positions 50 to 154 of the family's 154-position model. The record is from RNAcentral.
GAAAUGCGAUAAGUAAUGUGAAUUGCAGAAUUCAGUGAAUCAUCGAAUCUUUGAACGCACCUUGCGCUCCUUGGUAUUCCUUGGAGCAUGCCUGUUCGAGCGUCAUUUGUACCCUCAAGCUCUGCUUGGUGUUGGGUGUUUGUCCCCGUCUCCGCGCGUGGACUCGCCCCAAAGUGAUUGGCAGCCGGCGUACUGGUCCCGGAGCGCAGCACAUGUCGCGCAAACGAGUGCCUUGGUACGGCGGCGUCCAUAAGCCCCUCUCUCACGCUCUUGACCUCGGAUCAGGUAGGGAUACCCGCUGAACUUAAGC